UGAAUUUUAUUUUAAACUAUGUUUUGCCCAUGCUGUUUUACUUAAAUUACAAUUAAAUCGCCACCACAACCCUAUUUCUCUAACCAGACUGUUUCAUUACCCCAAGUCCCCAAUUGGUUUCAGAGAGGAACUUUGCGGUCAAAUCCCUCAUCUCCAAAAACUCAAGAACAAUAUUAUCUGAUUUCUCCCUCGUAAUCUUGAUAGCAUCUCAGAAUUGAAAAAGGUUGAUGGCCUGACAAAUGAAGAAGUGAAGAGUUUCAUCUACUAACGGAAACCUACUUACUAUUAUGACAGAGAGUUUCAAGUCCACAGCCUCACCUUGUACAUCAACUCCACAGCCUCACUUUGUACCAUCUACAAAUCGUCCAAUUGUUUGUGGCAUUAUACUGAAUAGAUUCUAGGAAUAUGUAUAGGCAGCCCAUGUAUAAUUAGUGAUGAAUAAUAUCUUUCUGUAAGAAGAAUAUGAGUACUCAUUUGUGCAAAAGUACACAAGUAUAUACAACUUCCAUUAGAGAAGAGAUUGAAUACUAGCUCUUUAGAAUAUGAUCGA
Argentina anserina (silverweed cinquefoil) is the source of this 550-nucleotide long non-coding RNA. RefSeq lists it as uncharacterized. The record is from RefSeq and is a predicted model, not a curated record. The transcript has 2 exons. NCBI's taxonomy places the organism in Eukaryota, Viridiplantae, Streptophyta, Magnoliopsida, Rosales, Rosaceae.